GGCCCUAUCGUCUAACGGUCAGGACGUAUCCUUCUCAAGGAUAAAAUCAGAGUUCGAUUCUCUGUAGGGUCACAA
Molecule: transfer RNA, 75 nt
Filed under: Candidatus Nomurabacteria bacterium
Lineage: Bacteria; Candidatus Nomuraibacteriota
Description: tRNA-Glu
Rfam family: tRNA
About the family: Transfer RNA (tRNA) molecules are approximately 80 nucleotides in length. Their secondary structure includes four short double-helical elements and three loops (D, anti-codon, and T loops). Further hydrogen bonds mediate the characteristic L-shaped molecular structure. tRNAs have two regions of fundamental functional importance: the anti-codon, which is responsible for specific mRNA codon recognition, and the 3' end, to which the tRNAs corresponding amino acid is attached (by aminoacyl-tRNA synthetases). tRNAs cope with the degeneracy of the genetic code in two manners: having more than one tRNA (with a specific anti-codon) for a particular amino acid; and 'wobble' base-pairing, i.e. permitting non-standard base-pairing at the 3rd anti-codon position.
Source: RNAcentral